Molecule: ribosomal RNA, 411 nt
Filed under: Passiflora organensis
Lineage: Eukaryota; Viridiplantae; Streptophyta; Magnoliopsida; Malpighiales; Passifloraceae
Source: RNAcentral
GUCCUCCCAACAGAACAAACCCCCCGGCGUAAAAUGCGCCAAGGAAUCUUAAAUGAAAAGAGAAGGUAACCAGCACCCUAGCGUGCCGGGAAAGGAAUUUCCCAGGGGGGGUGGGUUCCUUUGUUAAAAAAUUAAUGAAUUUUCGCAACGGAAUAUUUUGCUCCUCCCUCCAUUAAAAAACUAACCAAAUGGCAUUCUUGGGGGGGAUUGGCAAAUCCCCGGGAACCUCCAGUUUUUUAACGCCAGUUGGCCCCAAAGGCUUUCGGGCGAAGGGAAGUCUGGCUGGGUGGCCUGGACCGGUGGCCCCUUCCACUUCCUUUGGGGGGAAAAUCGAAUUAGGGGCGAAAAUGGGCCUCCCUGGGGCCCCGGUUCCCGGUGGGCCAAAUUUGAAUCCGUGGUGGAAAUGGCCCC